RNAcentral lists this ribosomal RNA (588 nucleotides) under Neonectria sp. Its description in RNAcentral is "eukaryotic LSU rRNA". It matches the Rfam family "Eukaryotic large subunit ribosomal RNA", at positions 36 to 649 of the family's 3401-position model. Lineage: Eukaryota; Fungi; Ascomycota; Sordariomycetes; Hypocreales; Nectriaceae. The record is from RNAcentral.
AAGCAUAUCAAUAAGCGGAGGAAAAGAAACCAACAGGGAUUGCCCUAGUAACGGCGAGUGAAGCGGCAACAGCUCAAAUUUGAAAUCUGGCCUUCGGGUCCGAGUUGUAAUUUGUAGAGGAUGCUUUUGGUGAGGUGCCUUCCGAGUUCCCUGGAACGGGACGCCAUAGAGGGUGAGAGCCCCGUCUGGUUGGACACCGAUCCUCUGUAAAGCUCCUUCGACGAGUCGAGUAGUUUGGGAAUGCUGCUCUAAAUGGGAGGUAUAUGUCUUCUAAAGCUAAAUAUUGGCCAGAGACCGAUAGCGCACAAGUAGAGUGAUCGAAAGAUGAAAAGCACUUUGAAAAGAGAGUUAAAAAGUACGUGAAAUUGUUGAAAGGGAAGCGCUCAUGACCAGACUUGGGCUUGGUUGAUCAUCCAGGGUUCUCCCUGGUGCACUCUUCCAGUUCAGGCCAGCAUCAGUUCGCUGUGGGGGAUAAAGGCUUUGGGAAUGUGGCUCCCUCGGGAGUGUUAUAGCCCAUUGUGUAAUACCCUGUGGUGGACUGAGGUUCGCGCAUUCGCAAGGAUGCUGGCGUAAUGGUCAUCAGCGACC